RNAcentral lists this ribosomal RNA (872 nucleotides) under uncultured bacterium. RNAcentral's name for it is "bacterial SSU rRNA". It matches the Rfam family "Bacterial small subunit ribosomal RNA", at positions 1 to 862 of the family's 1533-position model. The record is from RNAcentral.
GAAUUCGCCCUUUAGAGUUUGAUUCUGGGUUCAGGACGAACGCUGGCGGCGUGCCUAACACAUGCAAGUCGAACGGAACUGCAAUGAACAAGACUUCGGUCAAGUGAGUUGUACGUUUAGUGGCGGACGGGUGAGUAACGCGUGAGCAAUCUGCCUUUCAGAGGGGGAUAACAUUCUGAAAAGAAUGCUAAUACCGCAUAAAGUGCACAGUUGGCAUCGACAGUGCACCAAAGGAGUAAUCCGCUGAAAGAUGAGCUCGCGUCCGAUUAGAUAGUUGGCGGGGUAACGGCCCACCAAGUCGACGAUCAGUAGCCGGUCUGAGAGGAUGAACGGCCACAUUGGGACUGAGAUACGGCCCAGACUCCUACGGGAGGCAGCAGUGGGGAAUAUUGGGCAAUGGGGGAAACCCUGACCCAGCAACGCCGCGUGAAGGAAGAAGGCCCUCGGGUUGUAAACUUCUUUUACCAGGGACGAAGGACGUGACGGUACCUGGAGAAAAAGCAACGGCUAACUACGUGCCAGCAGCCGCGGUAAUACGUAGGUUGCAAGCGUUGUCCGGAUUUACUGGGUGUAAAGGGCGUGUAGGCGGAGAUGCAAGUUGGGAGUGAAAUCCCGGGGCUCAACCCCGGAACUGCUUUCAAAACUGUAUCCCUUGAGUAUCGGAGAGGCAAGCGGAAUUCCUAGUGUAGCGGUGAAAUGCGUAGAUAUUAGGAGGAACACCAGUGGCGAAGGCGGCUUGCUGGACGACAACUGACGCUGAGGCGCGAAAGCGUGGGGAGCAAACAGGAUUAGAUACCCUGGUAGUCCACGCUGUAAACGAUGAAUACUAGGUGUGGGAGGACUGACCCCUUCCGUGCCGCAGUAACACAAUA